RNAcentral lists this ribosomal RNA (253 nucleotides) under uncultured bacterium. RNAcentral's name for it is "partial 16S ribosomal RNA". It matches the Rfam family "Bacterial small subunit ribosomal RNA", at positions 524 to 776 of the family's 1533-position model. The record is from RNAcentral.
UACAGAGGUUUCAAGCGUUGUUCGGAUUCAUUGGGCGUAAAGGGUGCGUAGGCGGCGCGGUAAGUCGGGUGUGAAAUCUCGGAGCUUAACUCCGAAACUGCAUUCGAUACUGCCGUGCUUGAGGACUGGAGAGGAGACUGGAAUUUACGGUGUAGCGGUGAAAUGCGUAGAUAUCGUAAGGAAGACCAGUGGCGAAGGCGGGUCUCUGGACAGUUCCUGACGCUGAGGCACGAAGGUCAGGGGAGCAAACGGG